This 22-nucleotide non-coding RNA is filed under the name Arabidopsis thaliana (thale cress). Lineage: Eukaryota; Viridiplantae; Streptophyta; Magnoliopsida; Brassicales; Brassicaceae. The record is from RNAcentral.
UGGACUAAUCGGCCCGCCGUCC